CCGAUCACGACGAGGCCCUGUCAUGUUACAUGGGCUUGGGCCACCUUAAUGGAUCCGUCAUCUCUCAUCGGCUACGUUGACAGCAACUGAACAGAGCAGCUGAGCUUUCACUCAGAAACUGAAAACCCCCCAAAAAAUGGCUGCAAUAGCUUCAACUCUGAUCCCGAACCCUAACCCCAGCUCGAACGCUAUCGUCUCAUCUCUUCGCAGUCCGCCGUCGUUUAUCGCCUCGACUUCAUGCUUGUUUGGCAACAAAUUUCUCGUAAAACCACUGCUCGCUCCAACCAUGAGGGCCCAAACAAAACGAUCAGAUGGAACCGCUCCUUUUCGAGGCUUGAAGCCGAUCAAGGCGUCGUCCCAUACGUUCGACGUGGUUGUGGUCGGCGCGGGGAUUAUCGGUCUGACUAUCGCUCGCCAGUUUCUAAUGGAGUCGGAUCUCUCCGUCGCCGUCGUUGACGCCGCCGUCCCGUGCGCAGGCGCUACUGGUGCAGGGCAAGGUUAUUUAUGGAUGGUUCACAAAGCCCCUGGCAGUGAUAAAUGGGAGCUUGCAAUGAGAAGCCGUGAACUGUGGGAAAUGUUCGCAGAAAAUGUACAGCAUCAAGGCAUGAAUCCUCUGGAGAUGUUAGGUUGGAAGAAGACAGGAAGCUUGUUAAUUGGUAGAACUUCCCAAGACUCAGCCAUGUUAAAGAGAAGAGUGGAUCAGCUAUCUGAAGCUGGGCUGAGGGCUGAUUUCUUGUCUCACGGUGAUUUGCUGUUAAAGGAACCUGCACUGAUGAUUGGUAAGGAAGGUGGGGCAGCGUUUCUGCCUGAUGACUGUCAAAUAGAUGCUCAGCGUGCGGUUUCAUUCAUUGAGAAGGUCAACAGAUAUUUUGCAUCAGAAGGAAGAUAUGCAGAAUUCUAUUAUGAACCAGCAACCAGUUUAUUGAGAUCCGGUAGUGGGGAGGUCAAAGCUGUUCAGACUUCGAAAAACACCUUGUAUAGUAAGAAGGCUGUUAUAAUUGCCGCCGGUUGUUGGAGUGGGACUUUGAUGCAUGAUCUGAUUAGGGACACAGGACUUGACUUGGAUGUCCCUGUAAAGCCUCGGAAGGGUCACCUACUUGUGGUAGAGAAUCUCAAUUCUUUCAUACUGAAUCAUGGUCUGAUGGAAGCGGGUUACGUUAAUCAUGAAGCAGGAACUCUUCAUUCUUCUGUUUCUGCUUCAGGGCCAGUUGAUGCAGAAUCAUUGUCUGUGUCAAUGACCGCCACCAUGGAUUCUCGGGGAUACCUUGUUCUUGGGAGCAGCCGCCAGUUUGUUGGGUUCAGUACAGAAAUGAAUGAGUCAGUUAUCGACCGCAUAUGGGAGCGGGCAGGGGAGUUCUUUCCCACUUUAAGAGAACUUUCUCUCAGAGACUUUCGCCAAAGUAGAAAAGUGAGAAUAGGAUUAAGACCUUACAUGCCAGAUGGGAAACCGGUGAUUGGGGCGGUUCCUGGUUUAUCAAACUUGUUCGUCGCUGCUGGCCAUGAAGGGGAAGGACUUUCAUUGGCUCUCGGUACUGCUGAAAUGGUUGCCAAUUUGGUGUUGGGCUGUCCUGGUACAGUUGAUCAUGCACCUUUUGCCCUGGAAAAUCGAUGCUGCAUGUUGAGAUAACUCCGCUGGAGGUUGGAAGAUCCAGUGGUAUACAUGCAUUAUAGGUUGAUUUGGAGGGUAACCAGCACAAUUCACUCCAAAAUCCGUCACAAAUUCACGAUAUUGUGGUAGCAUGCUCUUCAACUUUUCUGCGACCCAUCCUUCAAGGACUUGACUUCUGCUGCUAGUGAACAAGUCACAGAUCUCAUCGAAGGAUUCAAAACUCCCAGUACUUGCAUUUGUGAACAACAAUUUUGCCUCAGUUUUCGUUGGUUUCGCGACUAAGAGCCUUAUUACAAGUGUGAGCUUUGGUGCUUAUGGCAUUCAGACAACUCUGCAGGGCAGAACAAGGCCUUUGGUGUUCUUCCAUUACCGUCGUUCUUUUUCCUUUUGCUGGUUUUGCUUAGUCUCUGCAAUUAAUGAGUCUCCAAACGACAUUGUAUUUGUGAGGUUGGGAUCUGAUGAUUGCUUGCAUUUGAGAAAAAGAAUGUGCACACGAGGCGAGAAAUUAUUGGUCU
Rhododendron vialii is the source of this 2124-nucleotide RNA transcript. RefSeq lists it as uncharacterized. The transcript is spliced from 11 exons. Lineage: Eukaryota; Viridiplantae; Streptophyta; Magnoliopsida; Ericales; Ericaceae. The record is from RefSeq and is a predicted model, not a curated record.